This 253-nucleotide ribosomal RNA is filed under the name uncultured bacterium. RNAcentral describes it as "partial 16S ribosomal RNA". It matches the Rfam family "Bacterial small subunit ribosomal RNA", at positions 524 to 776 of the family's 1533-position model. The record is from RNAcentral.
CACGAACCGUACGACCGUUAUUCGGAAUUACUGGGCUUAAAGGGUUUGUAGGCGGCCAUGUAAGUCAGGUGUGAAAUCCCUCGGCUCAACCGAGGAACGGCGCUUGAUACUGCAUGGCUUGGGGGAGACAGGGGUAAGCGGAACUGAUGGUGGAGCGGUGAAAUGCGUUGAUAUCAUCAGGAACACCGGUGGCGAAAGCGGCUUACUGGGUCUCUUCUGACGCUGAGGAACGAAAGCUAGGGUAGCGAACGGG